GAGAAGGUCCCUUUUUACCUUCUCACCAACUAGAAAUGAAAACUCCUAAACAUGGACUUUAAAUCAAAGUUACCAUGAGAGAAAAUUCUAAAAAAUCAAGGGCAAUACACCUGCUUGAGAGAAUCAGGAUUGGCUCAUCAAUGGCCAGUUUUAGCAUUUAUUAAGUGCCUAUUGUGUUAGUGGUGAUGAAUUCAAAGACAGUAAGACACAGCCCCUUCCCUUGAGAGCUUAAAAUUCUAAUAUGCACCAUUCCAUGGAUUAUUUGACCACUCUGUACAGUAGUGGAAAUGCUUGCCUGAGUAAGCAUAUAUGAAUGUAGAAAAGCUACAAUUUUAAAACCAAGAACUCAUGCUGUGUGAUUCAUAGGAUGUUCAAAUUCUGCCCAAUCCUUAACUGAUUAUUUUUUUUAGGUAGUGCUCCUCAGCCUAAGGAAUCAGAUAAUCCAGGAACUGGCUCUAAGAAUAUGCAUUUCUCAGUAAUUCUAUGUACUUUUCGUUACUUUCUUGCAGAAAAGUCAUAAGUGGACUCUCAUGCAAAGGUGAUGUGUUCCUCAAUUUUCCAUUCAGACUUAUCUGAGAAUAGUUACUAUGGAUGAUUGGAAAUAUUUCACUUUAACAACUCAUUCUUUCGUUAUUUCUAGGCUUUUUUUUUAUAACAUUCCGAUAAAUGGUUCAUUCAAACAUAAUAAAAUACCUCACAAUGGGCUGGCGAGCAAGUGCUGGCUAAAGUAGUUCACUGAGAAAAAGGCUAGAGGUGAGAGGAUUUUGAAAGCCAAAACCUGAACCUGAAGUUAUCCAUUCCCCCAAGGAAAAUUCCCUACUAAAACUGUCCCUGUAAUUGCUUUCACUUUUAUGGGAAAUGUACACAGUCAAAAAUGAAACCUCAUUAAUUUAAUGAAAAUAUUUCCUGGAUGAAUUAAUAAGGUGCUCUCCUGCUGAGUUUAAAGCACCAAGUUAUUGAAAAGACAAAAAGUGCAACUUAAAAGUGCCAGCUUUUGCCUGGCAGCUGGAAUGUGAAAUUCUCAUGGUAUAUGUUUUGCAUUCUUGGUUUCUGUUGACAAACCAUCUCCAUGGAAACAGACAUUAAAUCUCUGAAAAUACUGGAAAAGCUACUACAGAGAUGUCCAUCCAAAACUCUCAAUUGCUGUCCUUUUCCAAGUCAGGUCCCAUAUGCACACCGCGGGCCUGGGAGGACAUUCUCCUUUAGAAAUGACUUUGUCG
Molecule: long non-coding RNA, 1220 nt
Filed under: Marmota monax (woodchuck)
Lineage: Eukaryota; Metazoa; Chordata; Mammalia; Rodentia; Sciuridae
Source: RNAcentral